AUGGGGUCGUUGGCGGCAGUAGAGCCGCCGCACGCCGUGAUGAUCCCCUACCCGGCGCAGGGCCACAUCACGCCGAUGCUGAAGCUGGCCAAGCUGCUCCACACCAGGGGCUUCCACGUCACCUUCGUCAACAACCAGUUCAACCACCGCCGCCUUCUGCGCUCCCAGUCUGCCGACAAGCUACGUGGCCUGCCCGCGUUCCGGUUCGAUGCCAUCGCUGACGGCCUUCCGCCGUCCGACCGCGAGGCCACGCAGGACACCGCUGCACUGUCCUACUCUACCAUGACCACCUGCCUCCCCAGGCUCAAGGAGCUCAUCAUCAAGCUCAACGAGGAGGCCGGGACCUCCGGCGGCGCGCUGCCGCCUGUGACCUGCGUGGUGGCCGAUGGCACCAUGUGUUUCGCUCUUGUCGCGGCGCGCGAGCUCGGCCUCCGCUGCGCCACGUUCUGGGCCCCCAGCGCCUGUGGUUUCAUGGGCUACUGCUACUACAGGGGUCUAGUCGAACGUGGCCUCUUCCCUCUCAAAGAAGAGGCGCAGUUGACCAAUGGAUACUUGGACGCGAUCAUAAACUGGAUACCGUCGAUGCCCAAGGACCUGCGGCUGCGUGACCUCCCGAGCUUCGUGCGCACCACGGACCCCGAUGACAUCAUGUUCAACUUCUUCAUCCAUGAGACGACCGCCAUGUCGCAGGCGUCGGCGGUGAUCAUCAACACCUUUGACGAGCUCGACGCGCCCCUGCUCGAUGCCAUGUCUAAGUUCCUACCGCCCAUCUACACGGUGGGACCGCUCCAUCUGACAGUUCGCAACAACGUGCCGGAGGACAGCCCUCUCCUUGGCAUCCGCUCCAAUCUUUGGAAGGAACAGGACGCACCUCUCCGGUGGCUCGACGACCAGCCGCCGCGCUCAGUGGUGUAUGUCAAUUUUGGGAGCAUCACGGUGAUGUCAAAUGAGCAUUUGUUGGAAUUCGCCUGGGGGCUGGCCAAUAGCGGCUACACAUUCUUGUGGAACGUACGGCCUGACCUUGUCAAGGGCCACGACAACGCCGUACUUCCGCUGGAGUUCUCCGCGGCGACGGAGGGGCGAAGCAUGCUCUCAACAUGGUGCCCGCAGGAGAAGGUGCUGGAGCACGAGGCCGUAGGGGUGUUUCUCACACACUCCGGGUGGAACUCGUCGUUGGAAGGCAUCUGCGGCGGUGUGCCGAUGGUUUGCUGGCCCUUCUUCACGGAGCAGCAGACCAAUUGCCGGUACAAGUGCACGGAGUGGGGCAUCGGGAUGGAGAUUGGGGAAGAGGUGACGAGAACCGAGGUCGAGGCCAUUCUGCGGGAGGCCAUGGAGGGGGAGAAGGGGCAAGAGAUGCGACGACGUGCGCUAAAGCUCCAGGAGAGCGCCGUUGCCUCAGCGCAGCAUGACGGAAGGUCCAUGCGCAAUGUUGAUAGGCUUAUCCAGGAGGUGCUGCUGGCUUGA
Molecule: ribosomal RNA, 1464 nt
Filed under: Triticum aestivum (bread wheat)
Lineage: Eukaryota; Viridiplantae; Streptophyta; Magnoliopsida; Poales; Poaceae
Description: partial small subunit ribosomal RNA
Source: RNAcentral